CCCCCAUAAGACCUUACCCCAAUAGUAGAGUUGAAGCGGUCCGCCACUUAAACAAGAGGGGAAGGGGUAGGCAAGAAGGCGUGACCGUGUACUUUUUAGCUCAAAUUUUACAAAUCUCUGUUACCUGGAGAUUCAUUUCAGAGAGCUUGGAUUGGAUCUAUUGAGGUUGAAGUGGAUGUACCCAUCCAGUCUAAUAUGUUUAAUCUGAAACUAGCCCUUUAUUUCUCUUGCUCCGCUUUGAUUCGGCAAACCUAAAUUUGGCAGAUGAAAGCAGAGCGAAAGAUCUAAAGGGCGAAUUCUCCACCAUGUAACUGAAAGAUAUGGGUAGCUUUCUGUGUAAGGGACGUGAUUUUGCAGGCAAAUAUCCUCUGUUAUUGGGUAACUCUUUUGUCACCAUCGCAUUGGUGAAUGUUGUUGUGUCACGCAUCAAACCCCUCUUUUUCUCAUCAGUACCAUCAUAGCUGCUCCUCUUUUAGCUAUUGAUCUCCUCGAGGUCUGAUUCAACAGCCCUUAUCCCUGCCCCCUAUUGCUGCUUCUUCUAUUGUAGUUUAUAUGAGCAUAUAAUUCCUCUGUCCUAUCUGCAUCUUUCUCUGGAUUUCCAAAUACCCAAAAUAGGAAAGGGUUGGUUGCCUGUUCCGGAGGCAGAGAUGGUUUUGGAAAAAAAAUUAUGAUUGAGAGAUUGGUGAGCGAGUUUCUGUGCAUGUAUUUGGUGGCAAUCCCAUCGACGAAUGCAGCAUUUACAGACACAGAAGCAGAUGCAGAUCUUGAUUAGCUGCUUGCACAUGCCCAUCUUGAUUUAUAGUAAGAGCAUGUCGAAAACACUAUAGGGUUUCACACUCAUGCCGGGAAAUAUCGGCAGAUGUACCUACUCUUUCAAUGGAUACACAGAAUCUGAUGCGGGAUAUCUGAUGAUGCAAGUGUUGAGUUUGGUUCAUACAGAUCAGUUAGACUCAAAUUUAGGACUUUACUUUUGUUGUUGGAGUGUUAUAUCAACUGCACUAUUCGUCCUGUGGCCAGUCCAUUAUUGAUCCAGGUGUGACUUAUUUUCUAACACUCUUUUUUAAAUUACACUGUAGGCAUUUGGGGCUCCUAGGGCUCUAGUCUGACUUUGAUACUGAAUAUUGAGUUAUAGUUCAUAUGAAUCAAUUAGAACUCAAAACUAAAAACCUUUCAUUUAAAUUGAAUUACUAUUCUGAUUUUGAUACUGAAUGUUGAAUUGUAAUUCAUAUGAACCAAUUAGAACUCAAAGCUAGCAACUUUAAUUUACUGCUGGAGUGCUUUGCGAAUUGAAUUAUUAGCCCUUGCUGACCAAACCAUUGUCAAUUGAGAUGUGACUUCUUUUCACCCACAACUGAUUUGAAACUGACUUGCAUGUGUUUUAUCCAUCAUAAUUGGAGAUACUUCUGAGUAUAUAUGCUGAAAUGAGGGAUAAUCAAGGUGGGAAGCCUUUAAAGGCAAGGAAAAAACCUUAAAAUCCUUGCAGACCAGCGGCAUAGAUCCAGAAUGGGCAUGCACAAAUGAGGCGAUUGAAUAAAGGUGGCACGUUGAGGCAACAAACAAACUGCUUUGAGAUGAAUGAAGCAAAUGUAAAACAUUUAAUUUCUUUGAGAUUCAAUGAUAAGUGGGUUGCAGAAGGCAUGUGAGUGAUAGGUAAGGAUGUAUUUGACUCCUUGCUUAGGCUGGGCUUAGCCUUAUGAAGUUUUUCACAGUAUUAAAAAAAUUCUUCUUACUCUGUCUCCUCAAUUUUCUUAUGAAUUUAUUGAUGAGGCAAUUUGUUUGCUUUUUAA
Molecule: long non-coding RNA, 1787 nt
Organism: Cryptomeria japonica (Japanese cedar)
Lineage: Eukaryota; Viridiplantae; Streptophyta; Pinopsida; Cupressales; Cupressaceae
Exons: 2
Source: RefSeq, a predicted model, not a curated record